This 518-nucleotide ribosomal RNA is filed under the name Cytospora leucostoma. RNAcentral describes it as "partial large subunit ribosomal RNA". It matches the Rfam family "Eukaryotic large subunit ribosomal RNA", at positions 89 to 630 of the family's 3401-position model. The record is from RNAcentral. Lineage: Eukaryota; Fungi; Ascomycota; Sordariomycetes; Diaporthales; Cytosporaceae.
GCGAGUGAAGCGGCAACAGCUCAAAUUUGAAAGCUGGCUCCGGCCCGCAUUGUAAUUUGCAGAGGAUGCUUUUGGCGAGGUGCCUUCCGAGUUCCCUGGAACGGGACGCCAUAGAGGGUGAGAGCCCCGUAUGGAUGGACACCAAACCUGUGUAAAGCUCCUUCAACGAGUCGAGUAGUUUGGGAAUGCUGCUCUAAAUGGGAGGUAAAUCUCUUCUAAAGCUAAAUACCGGCCAGAGACCGAUAGCGCACAAGUAGAGUGAUCGAAAGAUGAAAAGCACCUUGAAAAGGGGGUUAAACAGUACGUGAAAUUGUUGAAAGGGAAGCAUUUAUGACCAGACUUGCGCCGGGCAGCUCAUCAGGGGUUCUCCCCUGUGCACUCUGCCCGGCUCAGGCCAGCAUCGGUUCUCGUGGGAGGAUAAGAACAGUGGGAACGUGGCCCCCUCUCGGGGGGGUGUUAUAGCCCAUUGUACGAUACUCUCGUGGGGACCGAGGUUCGCGCUCCGCAAGGAUGCUGGC